This 253-nucleotide ribosomal RNA is filed under the name uncultured bacterium. RNAcentral's name for it is "partial 16S ribosomal RNA". It matches the Rfam family "Bacterial small subunit ribosomal RNA", at positions 524 to 776 of the family's 1533-position model. The record is from RNAcentral.
UACGGAGGGGGCAAGCGUUGUUCGGAAUUACUGGGCGUAAAGCGUGCGCAGGCGGCUUCUCAAGUCAGGGGUGAAAGCCCAGAGCUCAACUCUGGAAUUGCCUUUGAGACUGAGUGGCUUGAGUACGAGAGAGGUGAGUGGAAUUCCCAGUGUAGAGGUGAAAUUCGUAGAUAUUCGCAAGAACACCAGUGGCGAAGGCGGCUCACUGGCCCGAUACUGACGCUGAUGCACGAAAGCGUGGGGAGCAAACAGG